AAAUUAAAAGAUUUUGAAAUGCAAUUGCAGGGAUUCUAAGACGUGCCCCCUAAAUACUUUUUUCCUUAAUUUCAAACUGAACCGAGGUAAUAAGUCAUAAAAAAUUAAAAAUAAACUAAAAGAUACUAAAAUGUAGUUGUUGAGAUUAGAAGACAUGUAUCCUGAAUACUUUUCCCCUCGAUUGUCAGGUCAACCUAGAGAAUAGGUAAUACUUUUUUUUAAAGAAAACUAAA
This 233-nucleotide long non-coding RNA is filed under the name Lathyrus oleraceus (garden pea). RNAcentral describes it as "Pisum sativum (pea) long non-coding RNA (PSAT_LNC023654)". Lineage: Eukaryota; Viridiplantae; Streptophyta; Magnoliopsida; Fabales; Fabaceae. The record is from RNAcentral.